AAGGAUUUCAUAAAACAUGCUUCACUUUACAUAUCACAAAAUACAUUAAAUAGGAGGUGUCUACCCACUUUGAUCAAGUUGUUGACGAACACGCGCUCGAAGUGUAGCGUCCUUACUUCCGCUAACUGUUGAAGUUUCGAAUGAUCUUAAAGUAGUAAUCACUAACACAUUAACUUCCGUUUAAUCCAACAAUCCUAUAGCUCAAUGUUAGGUCAGCUUAAAUCCUAACUUAACCUCUCUUAAUCUAUUUUCCAGUAUGUAAAUCUACUGUCACAUGUUAAACUAACAUCACAACUACUAAAAUCUAGGUCUUCAUUUACCUUAGUGAGCUUGUAAUGAGAGGAACCCACUUAGGAUUUCAACUCCUUUUCUGAAAACAAGAAAUCUAAUGAGAGAAAUAAUUCUCAAUGCUGGAAAACAAAGAUUCAAGAGCUUUUAAGAUUGAAACUCACCUUUUUUAAAGUUUUCAAAACCCAUAAAUCUGAAAAUACUCUUCAAAAAUGAGACCUUGUAGCAAGAGGGUUGAGGAAAGGCUGAGACUUGAGAAGCGAGCUACA
This 557-nucleotide long non-coding RNA is filed under the name Theobroma cacao (cacao). RNAcentral describes it as "long non-coding RNA (TCAC_LNC001375)". Lineage: Eukaryota; Viridiplantae; Streptophyta; Magnoliopsida; Malvales; Malvaceae. The record is from RNAcentral.